Manis javanica (Malayan pangolin) is the source of this 3896-nucleotide non-coding RNA. The record is from RefSeq and is a predicted model, not a curated record. Lineage: Eukaryota; Metazoa; Chordata; Mammalia; Pholidota; Manidae.
GAAGAUGGAAAAUGAGAAAGAGGGCUUAGGAGCUAUGGGGUAUAAAAUAAAAAGGCCUGUCAUUUGUUGAACUGAUAUCCCAGAAGGUCAUUAUGGAAAGAGCAAUACAUGGAAAAGCAAUACAUGAAGAGGUAAAGGAAGACUCUUCCAGAACCAAUGAAAUAUAUGAACCUGCAGAUACAGGAUGCCCAAUAUAAUAUGAAGCAAGAUAAAUAGAAAAAAAUCCACCCAGAUGCUUAUAAGGAAACUGAAGAAUACUAAGGACAGAGAGUGGUAAAAGCAGCCAGGAAUUAGCAUUUGUUAAAUUUAGUUAAAAUUCUUGUGAUCUUAAAAUUGAAUUGGAAAUAUUGAUAUGAACUUGUGUCUUACUUUUCUUUUUAAACAAUGUGUAUUUUCCAGCUCUCUCCUCUGAAGAAAUGACAACCCAAUAGCAAUAGCACCGUGAGGGACCAAAUUGUUCUCUGUAAACACCAUUUCCCACUAACAGAGAUCAGGCCUCUCUGAAGAAAUAGCUGAUCCCAGUUCUAGGGCAGGAAAUCUACAAGAUGAACCAGGGAGCUCUCACCAAGUCAUAAAGUAAGGAAGUUGCCAACAGCUACUAGGGGAAAAGGACACAGGAGCCAACUUGAAGGGACAUUGGCUAAAGAGGGACUAAUUUCAGCAUCAAUAAUAAUAAUAAUAAUGACAUUUUAUUGAAGCACAUGUAAUAUAUAAACUUCCAUAAUUUGAUAAUGACACACGCACACACCCAUCAGGCACCUUGAUAGGACAUUAACUGCCUCUCAGUCGAGGAGUUGAAGAAAGGUCCUUAAUAGAUAAAUUCCAGCUAAUAAAUGGAGAAGGAAUGAUAUCUUUGGGAAGUCACAAUUUUGUGCCUCUUAAUUCGGUAAUGGAUGAAUUUAAUAUCAAAGUUUAAUAGCCAAACACAGUGUGCCACCUGGCAUGAUGCAAUAAGAGAUACACAGUGCCACCUAUCACAGGGUUUUGCCAAAAUAAUUUAACCUGAAUCUAAUCAAGGCUGUAGCUAUAACUCAAUUUAUGGGAAAUACAGGAGCUAGAGGAACAAAUGAGAUGACACCAUGAGGAAGCAAUCAGCUUAAAUCCUGAUUGUGGAAUAUUCUGUAAGACAAAUGGCCUGUUUUUAUAAAAAAUAAGUGGCAUAAAAAAGGAGGUGGAGUGAGGCUUAACGGAUGGAGAGAGACUUAAUAGCCAUAUCAGCCAAAUGCAGAGACAGCACUUUGUGUGCUGAGUCAAACCAACCAACUAUAAAAAGACGUUUCUGGAACAAUCAGGGAAAUUUGAACAUGCAUGAGGAAUUCAAAGAUAUUAAGCAAUUAACAAAAAUAAAGCAAAAAAUCCUUACCUAUCAAAGACAAUCUGGUCCAUAUAUAUCUGGAAUUUGCUUUAAAUGCUCCAGCAGAAACAAAACAAUACCCAGGCAAGGGUAGGCAGAAGAGAGGAAACAGUAAUAACAAAAUGUUAACUGUUAAACCCAGGUGUUAGGAAUGUGGAAGUUCAUUAAAAUCUUCUCUUUAUUUUGAGAUACAUUUGAAAUUUUCCUUGAUAAAAGAUUUUUAAAAGGCAAUCAGAAAGAAAAGUCCUGUCACCUACAAAGAAACAAAGUGACAAAGACCUCUCAACAGCAAGAGUGGAAAACAAGACAGAAUAAUAUACUCAAAGGAUUAAGGGGAAAAAACUGUCAUGCUAAUGUUACAUAUUCAGCAAAACUAUCUUUGAAGAAUGAGGUGAAUUAGGGACAUAUCUAGAUAAAUAAAAACUGAGUUUAGCACCAAUAAAUCCAUACUGAAGAAUGGCUAAAGAAUGUUCUUUCUUUCAGGUAAAAGGAAAAUGAUCCUAGAAGGAAGGUCUGAGAUUCAAGAAGGAAUGGUGAGCAAAGAAAAUGGUUAACAUCUCCAGAAUUGUAUACUAACUGCCCAGUGCACAUCUGCCAGAGGAUGUCCCUCAGGACCUCACAUUCCAUGGCUUCAAACCUCGCUCGCUCACCGUGACUACCAACACACUGCUCCUCUCCUGUAUUCCUGAGUUUUGGAUGUCAUGCUUGAGAGAAACGUGGAAGUCGGCUCACUCUCCCUUACUCCUGCUCCCCACACUCAGUAGCUUGUCAGAACCUUCCCAUCUUGUUUUACUCCCCGCUCCCCACACGGAGCAGAGGUAGGCUGGAGGCGCCCUCUGCUGGUGGCUUUAGGAACUACAAUUCCUUAGAGCUGCUGGGCUCCCAAGCGUCGAGAGCCACAACAGGGCUUUUUUCCCUCGGGUCUCCACCGAGUAAGAUUGCUUUGCCCCAGCCAGCAAGGCGGCCCCCAGGGCAGUCUACGAGCAGUGAGAAAACCGGCCAUCCCCUCCUCCCCCAGGCCCUAGCCGUAUUCACUGGCCCCACAGCUCUGUGAUGCACACCGCCCCUCCGCUCCUUCCCCUCGUUGGUCCUCCUCUCCUAGCUCACAGCCCGGGAUGGGUGGUAGCACAGCGGAUGCGGGGUCGGGGUGCCUCCCGGAGGCAAGAGCCUCCGUGCAUCUCCCUUGGGCUCAGCCAGUCUGUGCCAAGAGAAGGCUGAACAUGCAGCCUGCUGGACCAGACUCAGCUCGAAUGGACCUCAUCUUGCCUUAAUGUGUAGUAACAGGUGACCCCUUCUGAUGCAGUCUUGAGGAUCUACGGCUUCAUAGGUGCCUCUACCCUAGUAUGGAGGGUGGGGUCUGGGGAGGCGGGAGGGGAAGCCCUGCGCCAGGUCCCACCUCUUGGUGCCCUAAGAGCAGGCUGGAUUUCAUUCUCCAGUAGCAUCUAAUUAAGGUGUCCUGGGCUCACAGCUCUACUGCCCCUGAGAUGUUCCUUAGUCUAAUGGAGUAACAGACAAACAGAAGAUAGUGGGGGCCGGUAAACUGGUUUUAGUGUCAUUCAGAAGGUGGAAUCAGCUGGACUUGGUGGUUGAUUAAACUCAUUAAAUUAACAUUAACUGAAUGCUUCUGAGUGCUGGGCACUGUGUGGAGUCUGAGGAAGACAGGGAAGUAGCUUCCAAAAUCCUAGCAUGAGAAACUGAAAUGGGGACUGGGAAGAACAGACUAGAGAGGCUAGGGAAGGGAGAUGACAGGCCCUGUGUGGACAAGCUGAGCAUGUGGUGCACUGAGACAUCCAAGUGAAAGGCCCAGCAGAUGGCUGACAUGCAGGCUGGGGAUGGGGUGCAGCAUCAGGGAGCUGCUGGGACCUGGUGGGAGGAGCCCUGAGCAGACAGACAUAACCAAAGCGGUAGGGUGAGAGGUUUCUGGAGAGGGGGUGUAGAGUGAGGACAGAAGAGCAUCUACAGCCCCAAGAUCACUGGCUGUGAAGAGCCUGCGAAAGAGGCCACAGAGGAUUAGGCAGACAGGGAGAAAGUGUGUGGACAGGGAAAUUCAGGCAGAGGGCGUCAGGAGGGAGGGAGCAGGCAAGAAGAGGAAGGCCUAGGGUAGUCAAGGGCCUGAGAAGACCUACUGGACUUGGCCACAGGAAACUGGGGCACAGUAUUUCUGAAAUGAUGCAGGCUGAAGGUGGACUACAGCAGACCCAGAGUUUGAGAGUGAGGAAGGGGAAGCAAUGAAUGUAGGCAUUCUUGGGGAAAGAGGGUGUUGUUUGUUUUAAUGAGAGAUCUGAGCGCAUCUGGGAAGGAAUCAGGUAGGGGAAGUUGAAAAUAAAGGACAAGAGGGGGUGAUAGAGUACCUAUUAUGACAUGUGACCCAAACCAUUUGGCUAAAACUAAUCUACUUUGUCAUGAGAUGGAUUAUUUAAAUGUCCAAAAAGGGGUUGAUUAGGUCAAAUAAAUGUCUAACAAUAUAGGAUUUACUGCAAAAUAAUUGUCCAGUGAGAACUAAUUGGAACAAAACCUCUAACAAUAAAAUUUUAAAUGUUUA